UAAGUUAUAGUUUACAAAAAACAUUUAUUUUGCAAAUAAAAGAUAUACUAACUUAUACUAGUAAUA
RNAcentral lists this transfer RNA (66 nucleotides) under unidentified. Its description in RNAcentral is "Spelaeomysis bottazzii tRNA-Ala". The record is from RNAcentral.